UUUUUUUGUUUUAAGUGACGAUAUCACCAAUGCUUGCAAGCCUAGACCUCCUGACUACUGUUUCCUGAACGAAUUGUCAUUAUUUUAUUUCGUAUUCCUUAACCGCUCUGCUGUAUGAUUAGGCCAUUUCCUACGAAGCAAACCCAUUAAAACAAUAACUAUUUCGUCUACCUCAGGCAGGAAGGGCAGAGCUGAAAACAAGCAAGGCACACCUGACGUGAGCAACCUGCAGAAAUGCUUGGACUUCUUCGUGCAUGCAUUCAUGCUUGGAUUCGGCAUUCGGAUGCCAUCGCCUUACGACCUUUACGUGGAUUCAUUCGAGGUAAAAGGACGUGAAGAGGCUCCGAGGGGAAGGUAGGCAAGACCAAGUAUAUGCCGUCGAGGACUCGACCAGGCCAGGACGCGGACUGUUAUCACGGACACGGAGAUCCAUAUCCUUGGGUCCUUUCAACAUUGUGAUCGAUGCCGUCCAACCGUUGCUAGCCGCGCCGCCCAAGUCCCUCGCCGGGAGGCCGCAUCCCCUGGGAUUCUACGGCCCGGCCGGAAUUGGGCGCGGGGCUUGUCAUGUGCGUGAACAAAAACAGCACCUAUGUUUCAUACUUACAAAUCACAAAACGUCCAAUGAUUUAACAACAAAGUACUUGCAGCAGCAAACUUACUAGAAUACCAAUUCUCAUCAUCUCAUCUCAACAUAUCAAAGAACACACGUAUGCCUCUCAUGCCAACUCAUCGGCACAAUCAACCACUUCACAUAUGGAUCAAUAGCAAGUAAGAUGGUGACUGAAUCAACACAUAUGGCAAGAAAAAUACCAAAUCAAUAGUAGACACCAAGAUUCAUGUGGAAACCCCUUGCGGGAAAAAACCACGAGCGGCGGCAAGCAAUCCACUAUAUGAAGAAGCAAUACAAGAGGUGGGAACCAACAAGGUGGGAAGCUCCAAAUCCCCCACGGAUUUCACUUUCUAUUGGAUGGAUUUGGUGGAUCUAAACCUCUCCUCUCCUUAACCCUAACUCUCGUCCAAGGUGGAAGAACGUAACAGAAUACUUUGUUCCUAUUCGAGUUGGGCUGCCCCUUAAAAUGGCAAACUUGUAAAGAGGCUCCAAAGUUGCAAAUUGUCACAACCAGCCCCAAUUUCAAUAUACAAUAUGUAUAGGCAAUGCUUGCCAUAACAAAUGAGCUAAUGGGCUUCCAAAUUGAUGAAAUUAGGAGCUGGACAUCAGGCACAGGGUUGGCAAAGCUUCGCGCGCGUGCACGCACGCCCAUUGGAUGGAAUUGGCACUUGGCAGAUCAGUGAACGUCCUGUUCGCUGCCGUACGUAGCUAGCUGUGUGACCGCGUCUGUGUGCACGGCGUGCAUGCAUGUGCAUGGCACGCAUCGGUUCAAUUAUUUGCACCGUCAAGUACUUGCAUUGGUUCUUUCUGCAUGCAGUAAAUCACUCAACGCCCAAGGCGAAAAAUGGCCCCUCGGCCGAGUUGGUCGUGUCAUUUUCUUCUUCUUUAGCACCAAGGGGACAGGGUGACGUGUUGCCUGAUCAUCAUCGACCCGGCGGUCGUUGCAACAUCGAUCAAAGCCUACGAAAAGGGUCCACUUUGCAUGCUACAAACGUUGACUGGGGGGCAAGGAGAGAAGAGGCAGGAAAGUACCCAGCUCAGAGCUUGACGCAUCUGAUUUAUUUUCAGUCGGUUGCGUAGCUUAUAUGUUCAUCGUAUAGAUUUCUGAAACAACAAGUAAUUUUCCAGAUAAGAAAUAAACGAGAACAUAUAAAUGCAUGAUAGAAUCUAUGGGACCAAGUAUUUUCUUAAGUGUUUGAAAACAAGAUAGAUUUCACCGUCAAUCUAUGUGAUAGUAGCGCGCGGAACAAUCACGACACGGGUGGAGUACGUAUACACUGGAAGGAUAGCCACAAGAUAUGGCAUGACAUACGCCAGGAGUAAUAGCAGGGAAAAUAAUCGUAAUAAGCAAAUCACCGUCUAAUACUAGUUUGUUUCUCUAGAUCAACAGCAACCACCAUAAUACGUAAGUAGCUGGUUGUUGAUCUUGAUCCAAGAUCCUAAGACGGUGAUCGAGCAAAUAAAUUGUUUUCAUGCACUUGAAAAAUAGCAAAAAUCAAAGGCCUACUACCAAUAUUGGUUGUGAACAAAACAAUCAGCGGAAACAAUACAUAGGAUGAUGGAUGCCGAGAUAUACGGAGGAAAUCAUCAACAUCUUUGCACACAGCUUAAUAUCUCAACUUCAUAUUAUUGAUGACAGUAGUCAACGCAUUGAGGAAACCGGGUAACAAAGGAGUAGCGCGCUACAACACCAAUUAACUAAUUAUUAGCGGUACAAAAGAAGAACACCAAGGUUUAUACCACAUAUCACACCACUUCGAUCAUAAACCCCUGGAUAUUGGUACAGAUACCCAAGAACACAAGGUUCAUCCCCCUAUCUUCAUCCACGUACCCGUCAUCAAGAUACACUACCACCCCCAGAUCAGACCAGAACAAUUGCCAAAGGAUACAAGUUGCCCUACCUUAGUAGAGAGGUAAAAACACGCCGCCGUCGACGACGCCGAGGCCACGGCCGCGGCCGUCACUCCUCAACGAGGGGAGUAGCCGCCGUCAUCUCCAUGGCCACGAGCCCACGCCCCCACCCUAUAGGCGUCGUCCGAAGCGCAGCCACCCGUUGCCGAGACACACGCACGCUCCAGAAUAAGAACACGGCCACGCACCAUGACAUAAGCCUGUAGAUCUUUGCGUGUGCUGCUUGGAUAAUGUGUGGAGCUCGCGUUCCCCCCUGCCGCCGCCCUGGGCGUACGUGGGCUUAAGAGGGGGAGGAGAGGGAGCUCCCAUUGGGCGCUUUUAUUUGGACGCUUCGCUGCCUCUUUGAGGAUCCGAGGGGGCUUUCUGCAGAAACGUUUUUUCUAAUGCCAAAAAGCUCCUCGCCUACGCCUAUGCUACCUAAAUCCU
Molecule: long non-coding RNA, 2947 nt
Filed under: Setaria viridis
Lineage: Eukaryota; Viridiplantae; Streptophyta; Magnoliopsida; Poales; Poaceae
Description: long non-coding RNA (SVIR_LNC011447)
Source: RNAcentral